Molecule: long non-coding RNA, 337 nt
Filed under: Rattus norvegicus (Norway rat)
Lineage: Eukaryota; Metazoa; Chordata; Mammalia; Rodentia; Muridae
Description: long non-coding RNA NONRATT017836
Source: RNAcentral
CUUCUGCAGAGCUGGUCCACAGUUUACCUGGCAGGGAAGUGGGCUUUGGUCUUGAAUCUGGUAUUCAGCUCAGGAAAAGAACUACACCCCUUGGAGCAGAAUGUAUGCACGGGACAGGGGUCGGUGAUUCAUGAACUCAUUGUGACUUCUUUAGCUCUCUUUGUCCGCUUCUUACUCCCGGAGAAUUUGAGUGCACGUGUAUAUGAUCCAGCAAAUGCACGCACAGACAGACACACACACACAUCCUCUACCAUCUCCCAUCUUCCCUUAGAAAGGAGAAGUAUUCAUCAGCCCCCCCCCCCAUUUUCUCCCUCCAUGACCGAGCCUCUAUUCUAGG